AUUUUUUUAUGACUCUCGACAACGGAUAUCUUGGCUCUUGCAUCGAUGAAGAACGCAGCGAAAUGCGAUAAGUGGUGUGAAUUGCAGAAUCCCGUGAACCAUCGAGUCUUUGAACGCAAGUUGCGCCCGAUGCCAUCAGGCUAAGGGCACGCCUGCCUGGGCGUCG
Molecule: ribosomal RNA, 166 nt
Filed under: Cypripedium tibeticum
Lineage: Eukaryota; Viridiplantae; Streptophyta; Magnoliopsida; Asparagales; Orchidaceae
Also listed under: 2 other names
Description: 5.8S ribosomal RNA
Rfam family: 5.8S ribosomal RNA
About the family: 5.8S ribosomal RNA (5.8S rRNA) is a component of the large subunit of the eukaryotic ribosome.
Source: RNAcentral